GACGAUUUUAGCCUUUCAUUGUGA
This 24-nucleotide non-coding RNA is filed under the name Arabidopsis thaliana (thale cress). Lineage: Eukaryota; Viridiplantae; Streptophyta; Magnoliopsida; Brassicales; Brassicaceae. The record is from RNAcentral.